Molecule: long non-coding RNA, 727 nt
Filed under: Sus scrofa (pig)
Lineage: Eukaryota; Metazoa; Chordata; Mammalia; Artiodactyla; Suidae
Description: lncRNA (ENSSSCG00055023148.1)
Source: RNAcentral
CUCACAUUGUCUUUGAUCCCUGUGGUCUAAAUGGCUGCAUUUUAUAGACUCAGAGGCAUUUAGUGUCUGUUAAGAAAAAAGAUAAUAACCUCCAAAUUCCUAUUGCCUUUUCCCAAAUUAUUUACAGAUUUCAGUUACUAACUGAAAAGAGGGCCUUCAUUCAAAUAUGAAUAAAGGAAGUGAUGUGGCAUUUACUCAACAUUUCAUUUUUUCUUCUUGGUUCUUUUUACUUUCCAGCUGUUCAGUGUCUUUUCUCUUAUGCCCAGACUAUAUACCAGCCUUACCAGUCUUGGCAGAGGAGAGAUGUCUGUCCCAAGAGGAAUAUUGGACUCUCUCCUGUCAUUUGCAUACAAUUCACCUACCCUAAGCUCUGUUUCCAAAGAUACUGGCCUUUCCAUGCUGAAAUGAUGGAGAGUGAAAAUAAGAUAUCAAAUGUUGGCAGCUAUCAGUCUACCUGUAGGGCAGCUGCUGAGACUUUACUGCCUGUAUAUGGACCCUGACUAUCCUCCAGCUCAUAUCAGGACACUUGAGAAGGACCCAAGGAUCACCACUGGGCUCUAAGAAUGAAGGAGGUGAGGACUAAAGUGAAUGUUAUUCUGCAUCACAUGGAGCCCUUCCAAAAGACUGUUGCUGAUGUGUUAUUCAUUCAGAAACCUUGAUUCCUUCCACCUUGUUCAUAACUCCUCACAUCAGAUCAAUAAAAAAAUACCAUUGAUUCUAAUUAACA